CAGUCGUACCGACGAGAAAUCAACCUUUCGAGUGCGAACCUGUGGACGUGCGUGAGUCUUUAACGGGCCUCGCUGUUUGCAAUGUUUGUGCUUUUUGGGUGUUACUUUUUCGUAUGGUAGGCCAACGUCAGUCUCGGUCACCAUAAAAUGAUUAGAGGAAUGUAGCUUCGAUCUUGUA
This 178-nucleotide ribosomal RNA is filed under the name Glomus sp. (unid). Lineage: Eukaryota; Fungi; Glomeromycota; Glomeromycetes; Glomerales; Glomeraceae. The record is from RNAcentral.